GUCUACGGCCAUACCACCCUGAACACGCCCAAUCUCAUCUGAUCUCGGAAGCUAAGCAGGGUCAGGUCUGGUUAGUACUUGGAUGGGAGAAAUUAAAAUGAAUAAAGCUACCAUUUAUA
Heterocephalus glaber (naked mole-rat) is the source of this 119-nucleotide non-coding RNA. Lineage: Eukaryota; Metazoa; Chordata; Mammalia; Rodentia; Bathyergidae. The record is from Rfam.